GCCUCUGUGGGUUGUCAUUUCGUCCAGUAUCUCAGCAUCAUAGAAAUCAUCUUCAUCACUUACUUCAUUCCUCAUAUCAGUUGGUUCUCCCUCCUUGAGCUUAAGACUCCGACUUCGUUUUGGCGUACCAGCAAUUUCUUCAUACUCAGCUGCAUCCAGUUCUUGAAGAUAACGAGGAUGGAACACCUUAGGAAAGAUAGAGUGCCUUAUGCCAAUGAGAAAGAAGAAUGGCAGUGGGAACAAUACUCCGCCAAUAGGUAUCCACGUCACCCCAAAACAAAUCAAAAGAUAUACAAAUUGGAAGAGUGUAAAUAUAGCAAUGUGCUUGAAUGGCACCAACUCCACGAAUGAAGCAUGAACACCUUCCAAAACUUUGUAACGCCGAUUUGGGGGAACGAAGAGCAGUAACAUCCUCUCCCAAAACUGAUUCCCUGGGAGACUAUCAAUUGCCAUGUAGGCAAAGUAACCCCAGAGAACUGAUGUAGGUAUUUUUUUUAUUAUAGGCAGAGCACAUGUUGAUAAUCCAACUAACAGUGAUUGUAAUAGGUUACUCAAUCUCUGCUCAUUAACUCGUACAGGCAAGUAAGCAUCAAUGUGUCUAUCAGGAUCAAAAUUUUCUUUUGCAUCACCUCUAUCAUCAGUUUUCAUUACAGCUUCUUUCAAGUCCGCCAACUCUUUAUCUACUGAAGCAGUAGGUGGAGCUGUGUCCAUUUCUAUAAACACAGCUUGCAUCCUUCCAUAAAUUUCUGAGUUGCUUGCUUUCCGCUCAAUGCAUUCC
Molecule: unclassified non-coding RNA, 778 nt
Filed under: Hevea brasiliensis (rubber tree)
Lineage: Eukaryota; Viridiplantae; Streptophyta; Magnoliopsida; Malpighiales; Euphorbiaceae
Source: RNAcentral